AGUGAACGCUGGCGGUAGGCCUAACACAUGCAAGUCGAACGGCAGCACAGUAAGAUCUUGCUCUUACGGGUUGCGAGUGGCGUACGUGUCACGAAUAUAUCCGAAUCUACUCUUUCGUGUGGGUUAACGUAGGUAAACUUACUCUAAUACCGCAUACGACCUACGGUUGUAAGCAGUGGAUCUUCUCACCUUUCGCGUUUGAAUUAGCCGCUGUUGGAUUAGCUAGUUGGCGGGCUAAAGGCCCACCAAGGCGACGAUCCGUAGCUGGUGUGAGAGAAUGAUCAGCGACACUGGAAGUGGGACACGGACAAGACUACUAAGGGAGGCAGCAGUGGGGAAUAUGGGACAAUAGGGGCAAACAUGAUACAACCAUACGGAGUGGGUGAAGAAGGCGCUCGGGUUGUGAAGACCUUUUGUUGGGAAAGAAAAGCAGCAGGUUAAUACGAAGCUGUAGUGACGGUAAUCAAAGAAUAAGCACCGGCUAACUUCGUG
This 492-nucleotide ribosomal RNA is filed under the name uncultured bacterium. Its description in RNAcentral is "partial 16S ribosomal RNA". It matches the Rfam family "Bacterial small subunit ribosomal RNA", at positions 29 to 507 of the family's 1533-position model. The record is from RNAcentral.